UACAGAGGAUGCAAGCGUUAUCCGGAAUGAUUGGACGUAAAGCGUCUGUAGGUGGCUUUUUAAGUCCGCCGUCAAAUCCCAGGGCUCAACUCUGGACAGGCGGUGGAAACUACCAAGCUGGAGUACGGUAGGGGCAGAGGGAAUUUCCGGUGUAGCGGUGAAAUGCGCAGAUAUCGGGAAGAACACCCGUGGCGAAGGCGGCACUCUGGGACGGUACUGACGCUGAGACGCGAAAGCGUGGGGAGCGAACAGG
RNAcentral lists this ribosomal RNA (253 nucleotides) under uncultured bacterium. RNAcentral's name for it is "partial 16S ribosomal RNA". It matches the Rfam family "Bacterial small subunit ribosomal RNA", at positions 524 to 776 of the family's 1533-position model. The record is from RNAcentral.